GUGCCAGCCGCCGCGGUAAUACCGGCAGCCCGAGUGAUGGCCGAUCUUAUUGGGCCUAAAGCGUCCGUAGCUGGGUGUGCAAGUCCAUCGGGAAAUCCACUCGCUCAACGAGUGGGCGUCCGACGGAAACUGCACAGCUUGGGACCGGAAGGCUCGAAGGGUACGUUCGGGGUAGGAGUGAAAUCCUGUAAUCCCGCACGGACCACCGAUGGCGAAAGCACUUCGAGAAAACGGAUCCGACAGUGAGGGACGAAAGCUAAGAUCGCGAACCGGAUUAGAUACCCGAGUAGUCC
Molecule: ribosomal RNA, 293 nt
Filed under: uncultured bacterium
Lineage: Bacteria
Description: partial 16S ribosomal RNA
Rfam family: Archaeal small subunit ribosomal RNA
Source: RNAcentral